AGCGGAGGAAAAAGAAACCAACAGGGAUUGCCUCAGUAGCGGCGAGUGAAGCGGCAAGAGCUCAGAUUUGAAAUCGUGCUUUGCGGCACGAGUUGUAGAUUGCAGGUUGGAGUCUGUGUGGAAGGCGGUGUCCAAGUCCCUUGGAACAGGGCGCCCAGGAGGGUGAGAGCCCCGUGGGAUGCCGGCGGAAGCAGUGAGGCCCUUCUGACGAGUCGAGUUGUUUGGGAAUGCAGCUCCAAGCGGGUGGUAAAUUCCAUCUAAGGCUAAAUACUGGCGAGAGACCGAUAGCGAACAAGUACUGUGAAGGAAAGAUGAAAAGCACUUUGAAAAGAGAGUGAAACAGCACGUGAAAUUGUUGAAAGGGAAGGGUAUUGCGCCCGACAUGGGGAUUGCGCACCGCUGCCUCUCGUGGGCGGCGCUCUGGGCUUUCCCUGGGCCAGCAUCGGUUCUUGCUGCAGGAGAAGGGGUUCUGGAACGUGGCUCUUGGAGUUUAUACCAGGGCCAGAUGCUGCGUGCGGGGACCGAGGACUGCGGC
This 535-nucleotide ribosomal RNA is filed under the name Pichia kudriavzevii. Its description in RNAcentral is "eukaryotic LSU rRNA". It matches the Rfam family "Eukaryotic large subunit ribosomal RNA", at positions 49 to 594 of the family's 3401-position model. The record is from RNAcentral. Lineage: Eukaryota; Fungi; Ascomycota; Pichiomycetes; Pichiales; Pichiaceae.